Long non-coding RNA from Drosophila sulfurigaster albostrigata, 2266 nucleotides. RefSeq lists it as uncharacterized. The record is from RefSeq and is a predicted model, not a curated record. The transcript has 2 exons. NCBI's taxonomy places the organism in Eukaryota, Metazoa, Arthropoda, Insecta, Diptera, Drosophilidae.
AAAUACUCUACAGUUCUAUAACGAACCCCACACAAUAAACCCGAAUCAAUCCAAUUUCGGGGCAAUCUGAAUAACAUUAAUUGAAAUCAAUUGAAUACACGAGUUUCGGCAACCAAUCAAAAUUCAAUUUUUAUUUAAUUUCUUCUCUUGGAGACGAGACUUAUGGCACACCUUAAGCUUUCACAUUAAAAUUCUUAAUGAUAAUUCUGUUAUCAUUAGAUUAGCGCAAAGCAUUUUCUGAUAUACCCCAACAGCUGCGUACGUGUUUUAAUUCAAAAAUAAAAAAGAAACAAGUUUUUUUUCGACUCUUUGAAAGUGCUGAUUAAUAUCGUGAUAAAAAAUGUGCAUUAUAAAUGAAAAGCUUAUUUCCGUUUUAAAGUCGUAAAUAUUUUUGUUGUUAUACAAUCAAUGCAGUGAAAUAUUUAUAAAAGGCAACAAGACGUAAGACAAUUAACUGUUGUAAAGAAAUAUCUUUUAAAUACGGAAUCUAAUUGGGAAAAAACAAUAUUACAUUUUAUUACUAAUGUAAUUUCAAAAAGGAUUUCUGAGCACUAAAGUAAAUAUCAAAACUUUUAUGAAUCUUGAAGGCCAUUCCAAAUGUGGGCUACCAGCUUAAUGGAUUUGUAAAUAAACUGUUUACAUUAUGUACAUAUGUGAAGCUUUAAAAAUUUGUAACCCUGACAUAAAGAAUUUCAGUUCAGAAGUAAACAUAUUUGGAAUAUUACAAAACGUAUUCAAAAUAUCAAUCAAACCGAAAUCAAAUUAAAAUUUUAAGUUUUUAAACUAUCUCAGUUUUGUUCGUAAUAAUUGCAAUAAUUUUACUGACCUUCCAAUUGAUUCAUCAAAGUUAUUUCAAUAAUUUAAAAGCAAAAUACAUUCCUCAUGUGGAUUACUUAUACAAGUUUCCAGCUAAAUAAUAAACACAAAUUUAAAAAAAAUUGUUGUGUAAACAUCGAUGCAACACGUUUAUUUACCUGUCAUUGAUAAAGGUGUAUAACUAAAUAAUGACAUAUUGUUUACAACACAAUUACUGAAACAGUUAAACAGUUGCGUUUACAUGCGAAAAAAAGUAAUUGUAAUAUCUUGGGGGGAAUCGUAGAUUAUCAUAUUCUGAUUUUGCACAACAAUGAAACACGCACUAAAAAUAUGUUCAGGUUGCUCUGGUUGACAACAGAAUUGCGAAAAAUGUUGAAAGCAUUCAAGAUCAAGGCGAUGGAUGAAACGACCAAAACAAACUUUUGUUUUUGUUGUACUAACGUAGAUUUAGAGAUUGCUAUACUACACACACACACACACACUCGUAUAGAGGCGGGAGGUGUGGCACGGGGAAAUCUCUGGCUGUUCACGAGUAUGGCAGAUGAUGCUGAUGGCAACAAAUUUGCGCGUGGCGCUUCAAAUUAUUCCUCUCUGUGUGUGUGUUGUUUUUUUUUUUUGCCAAAAUUAAAUAUGAAUAAUGUUCACAUGAGUCUGGGGGUCUCUUGACGCAAUUGAUUUAAAUUAUGCUUGACCAUAUUUGUGCCGCACACGCCGCAAUUGCAGUUGUCGAUGGACAUGUUUUUCAGGGAUAAUAAAAAUAUAUUCGACAAAUUCUAGCUAUAAAUAAUAAAGAAUGUCAAAAUAUUUAUAGUAUACUUGAAUUUAUAGUGGAAUAAAGAGAGCGCUGAUGAGAUUGAAAUGUUACAAUUACUAAAACUAUUUUCAGACUUCAAUUUGUAAAAUUUGUACUAUCCCUAGCAAUUCCUAACUCAAGUAACUCAGCAGUUUACAGUUCACAUAAGCUCAAAUUUUACAAUAUAAUAUUAAACACAUUUUCUUACCUUUUUACAUCCCUAUCAAUAUCAACAAAACUACCUCAACCGGCUAUUUAUCGAUCAAAACAAUUGAAAUGUUUCCAGCUGUAUUAACAUCCACUUACACAAGCAAUUUAAGUAGUUAUGUCUACAAAACUAAUCAGUAACUACAAAAAGUAAAUCAGCUGUUUGCAGAAUAAUUCACUUGAAAUAGCCCUUAAGUGCUCUCAUGAUCAAAGUACAUGAGUUAAACUAAUGGGCAAUCAGACCAAUAAAUUUCAUAUUAAUGCUGGCCGAAUCUGUAUUAUCACGAAUCAAACAAAUGAUCCAAGCAUACAUAGACUCUUAUCAGGCAUCGACUUUAUAGUUAUUCCCAUGUCUAGCCGAAAACAAGUUGAUAUGAAUCAACGAAAAAAAAAACUGCAAACAGUUGUUCCAAAAAUAAUAUGCCGAAUAAAUUCUGUGAUGAUGAAUCA